This 1683-nucleotide long non-coding RNA is filed under the name Sus scrofa (pig). RNAcentral describes it as "lncRNA (ENSSSCG00030024292.1)". Lineage: Eukaryota; Metazoa; Chordata; Mammalia; Artiodactyla; Suidae. The record is from RNAcentral.
CUCCUGUUUGUUUCUUAAGAAGUAGGUAUGGGCAACACCAGCAGCCUCAGAAUGUUCAAAGGGACUUACGGAAUAAAAAUUUUUGGAAGAGUUUGCUCAGAUGUCUCAGCCCAUGUGUCAGAAUCCCUAGUCCCCCAAACAGUGCUCUGGCCUUAAUAUAACAGUUUCCUUAGUUAGGCUUUUAAUCAUCUCUGAAGUUAAUCCAUUCAACUAAGACUUGGACUUGGACCUUGACUUUCUCUGCUUUCCAGCUGCAGGAGAUGAGAACUUCUCUGCAACCAAAGAGCCCUCUUCCUUUUGCACCUGGCAUUCAAUUCCUUGUUUCUUACCCUCAGCUAUUCUCCAUCUUUCUGUAGCACAUCGGUGGUCCUUAGCAAUAGGUAAGGAUAUUGUUAUCCUUAUAGCUAUUAUUUUUUCCAUAUGUCUCAAAUGUCUGAUUCAUCAACCUGCUAGUGUGUUCCCUUUCACAGAUUCACUUUCUCAGUUCACCACCAGUGAAAAUUUAUGACAUAGAGAUUGUCUGUGCUUCAGCGAUGGUGUCCUUAUCUCCAGUCUGGGCAGUGAGUGAUCUGGCUCUAAACCUCAUCUUAUCAUUUGUGCUUUCAGACUUCUCCUGGUACAGACCAGGUUCUCCAGAAGAGAUGCUGGACAGAGUUUGGGUUGCAAGGUGCUGCCAAGUCUGAGCUGGGUCAAGAUUGAAUUGGAGGAGAGUAAGUUUUUUUAAAAUAAUUCCUUAUAUUUGCAUAGGAUUCACAAAGCCCUUUCAAAUUCAUUUUUGAAUUUUACUUCUCAUAACCACUCUGUGAAGAGACUAGCAUUAUUUCUCAUCUUACAGUUAAAAAAAUCUGAGGUCUAGAGAGGUUAUGUGACUCAUUGAAUCUACACAGGUCCUAUGGAGUGUGGGACCCAGGUGUUCUGAUCCCAGUCCAUGGCUUUGGCUGCUAUGUCUUAGCUCCUGUAUCUACCUUGCAAUGUGAAGACUGAGGAAAAGAUGAAUUAUUUGCAUAAAGAAGAGCUAAUGGUAUUCUGGUACCAAUUCUCAAAGCAAACGUGGGGGUUGGUUUCCCACAUACCAUGGAGCACUUUUCAGACAUGUUGAUGUCCUGCAGUUCAACUCAAUUUUGACACUAUCUACCUAAAGAUAGUGUCAUACUCUACACGUUAAGGGUUCAGUCCUACAAGACUUCCCCCAGCCCCCACUUCAGAUGCCAGUGCAAGUCCAGUUUGUCACCUGGGCUUCUGACUAGCCAGCUAUAAAAUUGGAGUUCCCCGCAACUCCUUCCUUAGGUAGGAUUAAUUUGCUAGAGGGGUUCAGAGAACUCAGAGGAAUAUUUUACUUACUAUUUACUAGCUUAUUAUAAAGAAAGACAUAAAUCAAGGACAGCCAGAUAGAAGAACCGCGUAGGGAACAUGUAAAGAAAUGGGAGGAGCUUGCCACUCUUCCCAAAUCUCCAUGAGUUCACCAAUCUGGAAGUUCUCUGAACCUUUACUGUUUCUAUGGAGGCUCCAUUACAUAGACAUGGUUAAUUAAAGCAUGAUUGAUUGAUUCAAUCUCCAGCCCCUUUCCCCUUCCCCAAGGUCUUGGAGGUAGAAUUUAAAGUUCCAGUCUUCUAAUUGUGUGGUUGGUUCUCCUGGCAAGCUGCCCCCAUCCUUAAGUUUGGUCCCAAAGUCACCUUAUUAUUU